This 781-nucleotide ribosomal RNA is filed under the name uncultured archaeon. RNAcentral describes it as "bacterial SSU rRNA". It matches the Rfam family "Archaeal small subunit ribosomal RNA", at positions 109 to 879 of the family's 1478-position model. The record is from RNAcentral.
CCAACGUGAGCGGUCACCCCGGGAACUGGGGCUAAUCCCAGAUAGAUGAGAACCCCUGGAAUGGGUUUUCGUCUAAAGGGCACCGCGGUUAUGCUCUGCGGUGUCGCUCAAGGAUGGGGCCGCGUCCGAUCAGGCUGUUGGUGAGGCAAUGGCUCACCAAACCUAUAACCGGUACGGGCCGUGGGAGCGGGAGCCCGGAGAUGGGAACUGAGACAAGGUCCCAGGCCCUACGGGGCGCAGCAGUUACGAAAACUUGUCAAUGCACGAAAGUGUGAACGGGCUACCCCGAGUGCCGUCCGCUGAGGAUGGCUUUUCUCUGCUGUAAGAAGGCGGAGGAAUAAGGCGAGGGCAAGUCUGGUGUCAGCCGCCGCGGUAAUACCAGCUCGCCGAGUGGUAGGGAUGAUUAUUGGGCCUAAAGCGUCCGUAGCCGGCCUUUCAAGUCUCUUGUUAAAUCCAACGAUUCAAUCGCUGGACUGCAGGAGAUACUGUUAGGCUAGGGGGCGGGAGAAGCCGACGGUAUUUUCGGGGUAGGGGUAAAAUCCUAUAAUCCCGGGAAGACCACCAGUGGCGUAGGCGGUCGGCUAGCACGCGCUCGACGGUGAGGGACGAAAGCUGGGGGAGCGAACCGGAUUAGAUACCCGGGUAGUCUCAGCUGUAAACGAUGCUGGCUAGGUGUUGAAGCGGCUACGAGCCGCUUCAGUGCCGCAGGGAAGCCAUUAAGCCAGCCGCCUGGGGAGUACGGCCGCAAGGCUGAAACUUAAAGGAAUUGGCGGGGGAGCAC